RNAcentral lists this long non-coding RNA (32226 nucleotides) under Ananas comosus (pineapple). RNAcentral describes it as "long non-coding RNA (ACOM_LNC030192)". The record is from RNAcentral. Lineage: Eukaryota; Viridiplantae; Streptophyta; Magnoliopsida; Poales; Bromeliaceae.
UUUAUAGACUAUACCUGACUGUUUUUCGCGCCGAACCAGAGUAUAAUAUUAUGAACCAAUACUAGUAGGCCCAACGAGUUACCAAUACUAGUGGGCUACAAGAACCAUUCUCCAUCUUUUCUAAAUUUACACAAUACUUGAUUUCGGUCGACAUAUCGAAUUUAUCGCGAAACGCCAAACUUGUGACUGUGCUUCUAACCCUAAUAGAUGCUGCAGAGAGUGGUCAACAACAACUGCACUCACUGUGGAAUGAAAAGGACCACCACAACACAUUUGGUGUGUGUGGUCUCACCCAAAAUGAUAGAUGGACUCAAAUGCAUCAAACACACCCCUCUUUGUUGGGAGAACAUCCAAAAGGAGUGUGAGUUGGUGACAUGUCUUAUUCAUUGCAGAAGGCAUGUUGUUUGUUAUUCAAUGAUAUCCAAAGCAUAGAGCUGGCAACCUGCAUCCUUACAAGAAGGUUCCGCAUAUCUCCGAGUUCUGCGGCACGAUCCAAACAACACCUUAGAGGGUAUUUGGAUUGACGAAUCUCUAGAUCCAAUGUAACUCAAGGACAGUAGUGUUUGGAGUUUUUCUGAAGUGUGAUUAUCUUUUUGUUGUUUAUUUUGAUAUAAUUCGUAUAGUCUGAAAAUUAAAUUCAAUCACUUCUUUUAUUUGUUUUGCUAUAACUUAUGCUAGUAAAAUUAGUUUUUUAGUUUCAUUAUUUAUUUUAAUGUAAGUAAGUGGAUUCUGUUACCUCCAAAAUAUAGUGAUAAACUUACCCCUAUAUAAUCCAACUUAUUAAAUAAUUAAAUUACUUAUUAUUGUUUGGAAGUAAUCUUAACCCAUUGUAAAAAAUUUAAAAAAAAAAAAACUCUGAUUCAUUUUGUAAAGAAAGUAUAGUUUAGAUUUUAAUAUUUAACAAAACUUUUAAAGGUUGAGUGGGGUAGAACUUAUGUUCGAUAUUCUAGGGAAAAAAAAUCAAGAAUAGGUGAAGUGCAGGUCUAACGAAAUUUGAUUUACAUUAUUUUUUUGACUUACGACAAAACAAACACAAAAAAUGAUGAAAUUUAAGUUCCGCCACUCCACAUACACCCAAAAACCAAACAUUCCCUUAGCGUCUAUACGUCAUCAUUCUAUCAAUGAACUUAACAUCUGAUGAUGAAACGAACCAAUUUGACUUGUAAAUAAAAGCUCAGGGGGUAUUAGGUUCAAUUUCAAAGAACACAAGGGAAGGUGAAACUUUUGCUAAAAGUUCAGGGGGCCAUUUACAAACACUUCUACACAUCAGGAAAAGCGAAAAAUGGCAUCAAUUAAAGAGCCAUAUAUUCACUAUUAUACAAGACUAGAAGUUAUCGGUACUCCUUAUUGUACAAAGGAGCUCAAGAUUCUUAAGAACAAAAUGACUGCUCACAAAUCAGUGAGAGUCUGAAGCUGCAGACAUAGCUCACAAAUACAACAGGAACAUUUUACCCUCCUAGGUUGUACAACAAAUUCCUAACUACUUUCAUCAGAUGUUGCAUCGAUCGUAGCCGGAGAACCACGUAACGGGAUCUGUCGCUUUAGAAAACUCAUCGUCCAUCUCGUGUCUGAAAGGCUCGUCGAAUUCUUUGCCCCUCCAUCUAUGAUCAUUGGAAGUUAGCCCGCCUGAAUAUUUUGCUUCUUCCGGAGUGUUUAAAUUAGCAGGUUUAUGAUCUUUCGUUGAACGAAACUUCUCGAGAUACUGAUUUAGUGAAAUGAUUUCUUGGUCGUAAUUCUUCUUCAAAUUGUCUAUCUCUUGAUAGGCUUUCUCGGUCUCCUGCUCUGCCAUUAAUGCUCGCUUCUGCGAAAUAGUAGAAGGUGAGGUUACAGAAUAGAUAUUCUCCAAUGUAAAAACUGUCGAUACUUUGGACGUACAUUUCAGUUGAACGUAAUCACAGCUUGCAUGACAUUCUGACAACUUAACUUUAAAGUAGAAUUUAUCUAGUUAGCAUUUGAUUUAAAAUAAUGUCACAAGUUCCGAAAGACUACGAGGGAGUUUCCAUUAAUCCAGUGGUCACCACUGAAAAGCAUAAGCGGAAAUUGCAAUGAAAUAAUGAAAAAUAUUAUCGAAUUGUGACGUAUCUGGAAAAAAUAGCUUCAAAAACUACACAAGGCUCGGUAAGUGCCAAGAAUGGUGUUACUUUCACUGUUGGAGACAUUUCAUUGCUUCACUGGAACAAUGUAGAAUAUCUCGUACAAUUCAUAAGGCGGGAUAUAUAGAAUGACCUCAAACUGUAUAAGAUUGUACCUUUCAAAUGGACAAGGCUGUUAAUCUGUCACUGUACACAUAUGAUAAAGAUAAUAUGAUCUUUAUUCUCAUCCUUCUAGUUUUCUUCAAAGUCAAUUGCUACUUUUUAUUUGCUUGGAAGAUUUAACUUGCUGUACACUUUCAAUGCUAGUAAAUAUUUAUCAGUCGCGAUGCUUACAUUUAUGCUUAGAUUGCUACUUAAUAGAUUUCUAUGUCAUUACCACUCCUUUAUAAACUCCGAAUAUCUUUAAAGUAUGGACGAUAUUUCUUAGAGAACCAUCAUCCCUGUCCGAGGUAGAAACACCUUAGCCCAUCAAUGGAUUCAAGUAAAAAAUGGUAGUAUUUAUUACAAUGCAAUAGUAUGCUUAAAAUCUUAUUAAGGUACUCGACCAUCUUCUUUGUCUCCUUUACAGUACGUAUAAGUGAGCUCAAUCUCUUUGCAUUAUUGUUUCAUCCUACUUGUAGAACCACAUGAAAAAACCUACUUGACAUGAAGCAUGCACGUAAGAGAGAUUAGGCUACUAGUUUAACUGCAUGUACCAAAUAGAGGGAAGUUACAGAAUUGGUAUUUUAAACAUGAAUAUAAGAGAGAAUUAGGCUUAAUUACACGUAAAGCAUAUUGUAUAUGUAUCUGCAUGAAGUACCUGAGCAAGCGCAGAAGCUUCUUCUGCUUCCUUUAACCGCACGAGCAGUUCACCAGCUGCCUGCAUAGCUUCAGCAGUAUCCCUGAGCUGAGCCUGAAGGCCUUUAUUUUCAUCCCUCCAAUAUUUCCUAUCCUUUUCUCUCUCCUCUCGUAAAACGGAGAUUUCCGCAGCAAGGGAGUUGAUGAACUUAGACUCUGCUCCCUUAACCCCGGCUUUUACAGCCGCUCUCUUCACAUCUUCAAUUCCGUCACUAAUCCUUCUCUGCCUAGCUAGCAAAGUAAUAUGCUUCUCCUGGAGCUCUGCGUACUGUUCUAAAAUCCGCGCAUGUCCUUGCAUUGCUGUUUGCAAGGCCUCCUUUAGCUCUUCUGUGCAUUUCCUCUCCAAUUCAAGUUCGAGUUUCCAUCUUUCAGCAAGCGAAUGAUUCAUUUCUAGUUGGUGUUUAAGUUCUUCAGUAAGAGCAAUCCAUUUGGUUUCUGCUUCGGUCCAACAACUUCUCUCUUCUCUCAGCUUCUCAUCAGCACUUUCUUGGUUCGACUCUGAUUGUAUAUGGAGAGGAACUGGUGCUGCGUUACUUAUAUGUGCCAAGUCAUACAAAGGACUAUGCUUGCGAGUUGAAAAGGAAGAUGCCCGCAUGUAGUACUGUAAUUGGUUCCUCAGAUCUUGAAUCUCCUCCAUCAAUACAUCCCUCUCCCCCAUGUCGAAAAAGUUCCUGUACCUAUCUAACUCAUCUUGCGCCCCUUUUAGCUCGAUAUUGACCCGCAAUACUUCGGGGUGGUUUUCAUAUUUCUCUUUAAGAAGCUGUAUUUGCCAUUUAUGGAAAAAAACAAAAUAAAGAUAUUUAUUGAAAUAAUAAUGGAAAAGAUAGGCAAACCAAAUAGGACUUACCUUAUGUUCAUUUGUAAGAGAAAUGAACUCUUCAUCCAUGAAGUCUUCGGUUGGUAAAAUGCCAUCCAUGAGGCUCUCAAGACGUGAAAUCUUGUCCUCGCGUGUCUGUGCAAUUAUUGCAUUGCACUCGCGUUCAUGCUUAUAUUGCUGGACCUGCAAAUUCACAACCACGACAAGAAACCAAUAUCGUGGAAAGCAGGAAUAGUUUGUGAGAGGCCAAGCUACCACAAUGCCUAUAGAAUAAGCAAGUUGUGACGGUGGUAUACAAGAUAACACAAAAUGUUGUGAGUAUGAAGAAAAAUUGAGAGUAAGCGAUAAAUAAAAGGAAACACUUGCAAGAGCAAACAUGGAUAAGAAAACUUAAAAGAGCUUCUGACAAGCAAUUUACAAAUGUUGUAGGCAAUUAUGACUUUAUUGUAGAAGUCAAAUUUUGCCAAUAACUCAUUGUCACACACACACACACAUAAUAGUCAAGAUCAAAAGAAACCAGCAAAGCAUAUUGUAUUGUCAACUGUGAUAUUCAAGUGUUUGAGUAACUAAUCAUAGCCUUGCCAUUCUAAGCCUACUUAUAUCUGCUCAACAUGCAUAACGGUAUGAGGCUUGCUCACGUGCCCAUUACGCUGCCCCUAUGCCAUAUGCAGAUGUGGUUAGCAACUGCAUCAGGAUACACCAGCGCAUAUGUGAGUUUGUGCAUCAUUUUUCUAAAAAACUGGUGAAAUGUAACAACCUUUAAUGUCUGAAAUGUGGAAAAGAAAACCUACCAAACGGUUUAGCUGCGCGAUUUCAGCAGCUUGUUUUGCACAGUGGUCCUCCAAUGCCAUUUCUCUCCUAAUUGCACCUGCCAAAACUUUCUCGACAGCCUACAGAAUCAUGAGAAUGUUUGCUUUUUUAGUGCUUUAAUCUGUUAAACAAGCUUAUACAACAAAUAAAGCUAAAUAAAAAGAAGAAUAGAAAAGAAUUAAAACAUCAAGGAUUGGUUACUGAGACCUACUUUGGGUACUUGUUUCUUUACCCUCUCCGAAGGCACAGAUCCAUCAACAGGUGCUAAUUGCAAGUCAAUAUUAAGACCACUGCCAUUGCUUUUACCCGGACAAGCUUCUUUCUUAGAACUACAUUUAAGAACAGAUAAAUCUUCUGCUACAGAUUCUCGAGAAAUUGUUUGCACGCCAACAUCAGCCUUAUUUACUGGUGUAGCUGGCUUGAGAUCGACAGGGUUAACAGAAAACCUGAAUGACUUCUUCCUCAAAAUGGCAUUAUUUUGGUUAUUUUCGAUAAUUUGAAGACCAUGAUGUAUAGUGGCUUCCAACUGCUCUGUUGGGGCAAGUGAACUCCUACCUCUAAGGAUGGAAGAAACAUUUGAAGGAUCACUUCUUGAAGUUUCUGUAAAAUCAGACUUCAAAUUUUGCAGAAUAGUUUUCUGAGAUGCGGACAUUGAAGAUGAAGUCUUCGGACUUUUCCUGCUGCAAUCAGUUGAGUCUUUGUAAUCUUCUCGUUGUAGAGAUUUUCUCUUUCCAGGAAUGUUGUUAUCUGGAAGAACAGGAUUGUGCUCAUUGUUAUUCUCUACUUCAGAACUCCUUGCAUCUCCAAUAUCUGCUUUUUUUUCCGUAGAGCAGGCUUUCACCUCCAUUGAACUGUUCAAAUGAGUAGAUACUUCGACUUCAGCAGGAGAUAGUUGCAUACCAGCUUCUUUUGGGGGCUUCUCAACAUCAUUCUCAUCGAUUUCCAUUUCUUCAUCACUAUCAUCCUUAAUAGUGGAUAGUACAGUGGGACGGCAAAGACUCAUUCUCAAAAGAUUCAAACUCCGUGUCGCAUUCCAAUUGUUUGAAUAAUUUCCUGUGUUUCCAGGUGCAGCUACAUUAGACUUCAUUCUUACAAGCUCGUCCUGUCAACCAAACACAUCCACAACAUAUCUUAUUUCGGAUUUAUAUACACUUGCAUAAACUAUCUUUUAACAAACAUAUUUAUGUAAGUACUGAAUUUUCAAUAUAUCACUUCAAAAUCUUAAAUUCGUGCAAAAUUGCCUCUCUUCAAAAACUAAAUUUCCUGCAUUUACAACUCGUUAAAAAUUUUUUUCCAAUAGAUACAACUCUUUAAAAACUUUUUUCCAAUAGAAGCCAACUUUCCACCAUAAAGUGGAUGAUUCCCGAUAUUGAGGAUAUUUUUACAAAAACUGAAACUGCACCUCCAAGGGUAUGUAUGAAAAUUCAGAUUUUACACAGGCAUAUAUGGAGAUAGAUAUAUAUGUAAAAGAUCAUGCUGUACUUAAUGUAAUGAAACUUGAUCAAGAGUAAAAUGUGAACUUUAGUCCAUACCUUUAGUUGUCGGAUCUGUUCACGCAAGACAUUGACGUCAUCCUGGGUAAUUUCAUUUACAACUGCUUUGUUUUUUAUAGCCUUUGCACGCUGGGCAAAUCUGAGAGUACUGAGAGUUUCACUCUUGCAUCUACAUGUCAAUAAAAUCUCAUUUUCAGAGAUAUUUAAGGAAGAAAGAGACUGAUGGAAAAGCAUUUUAUUAAAGGCAAAUAAGUCAGCAACACUACCUUUGUGAUGGCGAAAUAGCACAUAUCAUUGCCAGCUUUGCAUUACCACCUAGAGAUUCCUGCAGUAAGAAUGUUAGCCUAGAAUCUCGGUAAGGGAUGUGCCUUUGUUUUCCGGACUGAGAAACUUCUGCUAAAAUAUUAAUCAAGUUCCUGCGAGGGCCAGAUACAAAGAUAUAGAAAAGAGUCGAAAAGCUCAAUUUAUAUGUACAAGAGCUGCAGUUUACUUCAAUGUCUUUGGAAAUGUAGUUAUUCUUCUUAGCUCCCAAUGGAUGCUAGUUUUAAUAUCAACUAAUAUUAGUAAUAUUUAGAGGAUUCAGUAUAGAAAUUCAUAGAGAUAAUUUAGACAUUUUAUGCACAUUAUAAUAUUGUCGAUAACAAUAGAGAACACUUCCUUUUUAUAUAAUUUUGCGUCUCAUAAAUUUUAGUUCAUACAGAUAAAAGAGUCUCUCCGAAAGGUUACGUAAUUCUGAUCUAGAUGAUAUAAAGAGUAAUAUCCAGAAAUAAAGCAGUAACAUUUAUACCCAAGUUGCGAAAGCGAACGAUUUAUAUUCCCUGCUUCCUUCAAACGCUCCCCAGCAGCAUUUGUGAGUUUCUGCCUCUCUGACCCAGCAAGAUCAACCAAAUUAAUUCUGCUAAUUCUUGAGCUGUUUACACCAUCUUCCACAUUCUACAAGAUAUCAAAUUACAAAAUUCAAAAAGAUGAGCUUUUCUUGAGAAUUAGUAUGCAAAUUUAAGCUAUAGAGUGUAGAUGGGUCCCAGCCAUAGGAUUACGAUGACUUGGGAUUGUAAGUUUAGCGGGCUUACGAGUGAUUAGCCCAGUUGUAGUGCCAAUGAGAUGUAUUUAUGGCACACCUAGUUGGGUUAUGUUGAAGAGUGCUAGUGAUCGGAAAAUUGAGCAAGGUUGCAUUUUGAGGGGAAAUUCACGUAAUGUAUAAAGUGGAGAAAUGUAUGUAAAAUGUGAAUGUUCCAAGUGUUGUAAUAGCUAGGUUUAAAUUCUCGCUCUUGUGAUAUGCCCUCAUGCAAUACUGUAUUAUAUUAUUUUUUUUGGAUAAAAUUCAAUGUACUUGUUUUGUUUACGCCUUGGGCGGAUAGGAAAAAUUCUAUCCAUUCGGCGGUCUGUGUACGUGCCCGAACCGACCAAAGUGGCGGUGCCGGGGCAUGACAUAUAAGAGUGGUGACAUAUGAUAAGAGAUGGCAAACAUCAAUGCAAUAAACAUGGCAAAAACUAACACUGUAAAGCUAAUCAAGCAAGACCUUUGCAAAUGUUUUUUCCACAUGAAUACUAAGUAGGGAAAGCAUAAUCUUAUUCUUGUAUAAGAACGAAACAAGAUGCAAAGCAAAUUACAAAAGGAUAGGUGGGUUCGAGCAGUAAGCCUAUCCCAAUUACAGCACUACCUAAAAUUUAUUCCAUUCCUUAAGGAAGGAACUUACCUUUGUGACAAUAACAUAUUUAAAUUUAACCAGAUUCCUAACCAGUGAUUGGCCAUAGGCUCUUCAAUAGAUCGAACUCAUACAGCAGAUAGACUGAAUAAGUGGGACAUAACAUAAUAGUGACAAAAAACACAUUAUGUUCUUCCCAACAGUACAACUACAAACAAAAGGUGUUCUAUUUCUCCAGUGGAGCACCACUAGCUUUGCCAAAACCAUACAUAAUGCCCUUGUUUAUUCAAUAAAAGAAAGUCUUUUCUUUGAGCAAACUAAAAGUAUUGGUGUUCGCACAGAAUCUAAAAAAAUGUAGUAGAUCACGAGUAAGACUCAGACAAUACCUUGGAUUGACAUUUAAUGACACAAGUGAAAACACAAUGUGAACGAGAACUCUCCGAAUUUACAGUGGUUGCACCCGUCCUUCUAUUUGCCAGUCCCUGCAACAGCACAAGAAAGUUUUAAAUGGAUGGGGCUAUGCUUUAGAUGCUAAAUAAUCAAAAAUGAGAUAAAAGUGAGUCAGUUCUUCGUGUAUAAAACUUUUGGGUGGAAGUAAAGAGGUUUUCUAGGCAAAUCAAUUUAGCUGCAAAUGAAAUACUGAAUUUAAUGUUUACAGUUAUAGCAACAAUCAAAGGAUUAUAAUGCGAAUCAGAAUAUUUUGAAAAUUCUUGGGAAAACCAGAUAAUCAACACUGAUCAGCAUGUCAAGAAAACAUAAACCAAUUCUGAGUUCAAAUACAAAGUAAGAGACGAUCAAUUGUGAAACAAAGCUUAAAAUCUUGAAAAGAGAAUAUUGAACAAGAACUCCGUUUGAAAUUGCUAGAUCAAGUUGCAACCCGAAAGGGAUAAGUUGAUAAAUGUACUAAGAAGUCAAAAGAAAAUCUUUCUAACGAAAGGAAAAUAAUGCAGAUAGAUAAUAAAAGAAUGAAUUGACCAUGCAAGAAAACUAAAACAAUCAUUCUAUAUCUACAUCACUGGGAGAUGUUGUGACAAAAGUCACCAAACAAUUCAUUUCAAUUAACAAUGAAAUUAGCAUCAUUAAUCAUGUGUACUAUAAAAGAAAAAGGCAUCACAAAUAGCUUUAGUGAAUUUUGGAAAGUGGUAAUAGUCUAUGCACCUUUAUUAGCAACAGAGUUACAUCCUUCAUCGUGAAGACAUACUCCUCUGUCAACGAGUCAACAUAAACACCAGUUCUAGCAUCUUCUCUGAUCUGGAAAAGGAUGAGCAACAUCAGCAAACUGAAAGAAAGCCAGCAACUAAAAAUGAAAUUGUAGAGCAAUUUUUAUUUUUUGACCUGAAGAUUCCUUUGCGCAGGAUCCAACAAAUCAGUGAUUUGUUCAUUGUAAAUCUGUAAAAAAAUAAGUAUACCACAUUAAUGACAAGCUAGUGCAACAAAUAAUAAAAAAUUUAAUGCACUCUAAAUAGUGUCAUUACAACUUGCCUCUAGAAAAGAGCAGCAGCACUGAUAAGUCAACUGCCUCUCAGAAUGCUUAUUUUGCUCCUGUGAAUGAAUUAUAAAUGCAUCAGACUAAACAAACAGAAUGCCUUUAAUGUUAUAAAAAAUAUGAAAGCUACGCACUUCCUCUAUACGAGUGAAUAAUCUUUCAAAGACACGAGGAGUUAAUCCUUUCUCAUUACUGCUUGAGCCAUCUUCCAACAAGGCACUUGGAGGUCCCCACAUCGUAUAUGUCUUCCCACUGCCGGUCUUUUGGAGGAAUAAUAUGGAGCCAGUUAAUUAUAAAUAAAAUACGGCAGAAGAAAUUUACAAUAAUGAAGUAACUGAAGCUGAGAAGACCUGUCCAUAUGCAAAAAUUGAACUAUUGAAUCCAGCCAAGCAGUUUUCCACCAAAGGGAGCCCAACAAGGUGGAAGAUGUCAUCCUGUGCAUGCAAUACAUACAUUAAACAAUAAAAGCGCCUCCCUUUCAAAAUUCAAAAGCCACAACAUGACAAAGAAGCAAAAACUAGCAAAGUGAAGUGUCAGAAUACUCCCCACACUUUUGGCUUACUAUGACAUGGUCCCCUGUACUUCCACACUCAAGCAGAAUAAUUCAUGAUCUUAAUUUGCGAAAUGGUAUUCCUGGGUUUGUUAUCCAUUCAAAAGUUCCUGAGAGAAUUAGGAGAUUUGACUGCAAAAUUACUAUUAUCAUGUUCAAUGACCUUUUCAUUCACCUUCGCUCUUAACUAAGCCUUGUAGUAAAAUGUUUUUAAAGUGCUCACAAUGAAUGCAGUCACAUGGAGAGCAUGCUUCGAAACAAAUCUCAUUGCAGAAGGUAUGUAAAAUCAUAGACUAAUCUGUUUUACACUAAAUUUAACCCUAAAUUCUGGAAGUUUAAGAACUAUCCCUAAAUUUCACCCUAAACUUAGAUUUGAGCCUCAAAAGAACAUUUUUACCUGUGAGGAUGUGAUAUCGGCGACCGAAUCAAAGGUAAACAUGUGGUCAAGAAUCAAAACAGAAUUAUCAGAGACCUUCUGCACAAUAACGUCUCCUUCUUCCUCCUCAUUGUUCGGAGGCCGAAUCCUUACAACAACCUGAAGAACACAACAAAAGAUCUCAAAAAACAAAGCAAAAAUGGAUCUUCAAACAUACAUUGUCCUCUAAUCUUGAAUCGCUUAACCCUAGAAACAAGACCUCACCUGAACACCGGAAUUCAAAGCGGAGGAGGCGGCGGAUACGUUCUCCGCUAGGGUUUCGGAGCUAACUAGCUUCCGUUUGACGGGGUUGCCGACGCCGCCGCCGCCGCCGCAGCCGAGCGGGGGCCUCGGCGGGAGCGGGCUCCGGGCCCUGGCGCCGGCGAGGGAUUUCCCGGAGGCGGCGGCCGACGGGGACCGGAAUGGCGAGGAAUCCGGCGGGUUAGAGUUAGGAUUAAGGUUGGGGUCGACGUUCUCCUUUGGGAUCCGGGGUGGGCGAUGCUUGUGAGAGGAGGAGGAGGAGGAAGGGGUUAGGGUUUCGGGGGGAGGAGGAGCUCUCCCGCUCCUAAGGUUGUGGAAAAUGCUCUUCAUGGAGAGAGAGAGAGAGAGAGAGAGAGAGAGAGACGUUGGAGACGAGGAGAGGGAGAAGAGCGAUUUGAAAUGGGGGAAGGGUAGAAUAGUAAUUUCGAUUAUGUUGGCAUUUAACUAUUAAAAAAUAUUUUUGGAUUUUGUUUGUUUUUUUUUUUGAACAUUUUAAUUCUGAGUGUAAAAAUUUUAAUUUAAAAAAUUAUUAAAAUUUUAAUUAGAUUUAUUCUAUUUUACAUCAACAAUGAUAAUUAGUAAAAAUUUAAUACUUUAUAAGAGCCCAAGGCCAAAAAAAUAAUAUAUGUGAAAGUUUAAACAAAAAAAUAUUUAAAUUAAUGGCAUGUUUACUUUGAAAGAUUUAAUGCUUGAAACCAAAACCGAAUGAUUUAGUUCUAAAAGGAAUUUUAAAAAAAAAACUUAUUUCCUUUAUUAAUAAUUAAUAAUUAAUAAUUAUUUAAAUUCAAAUAAAUAAAUAUAUAUAUAUAUAUAUAUAUAUAUAUAUAUAUAUAAUUUUAGAAUAAAUUAUUAAUUUUAAUUUUAAAUUUAAAUUAUUUUUAAUUUUAAAUUCUAGUAUAAGUUUGAAAUUUGAAUUUUAGCUCUAAAUUUAAACUUUGACUUUGAACUUGAAUUUGAAUUAUAAAUUUUAAUUUUAAUUUUAAUUUUAAUUUUUGAGUUUAAAUUUUUAAUUUAAAUUUUGAUUAUGAAUUUAGAUAGUAAAAUUAAAUUUUAAUUAUUUGAAAUUUAAUUGAAUAUGAUGUCAAUUUCGACUAAUCUUAUAAACCAAACAAAUUAGGAUUUUCAUCAUUUUAUUUUCGGUUCCAAUCCAUACUCAUUCCUGUAUCGAUUUCAAUUCUUCUUUUGAAUUAAACGUGAUCUAAAUGUAUACGCAUUGAAUUAUCAUAUGAAAAUAGCGCGAGAGAUCAUAUAUAUAUAUAUACACAUUACGCCCGAAAAAAAUAUUAAUUGUACAUCUCCUGGGUCAUUAAUUUAUUAAUUAUUUUGGUUAAAAUACAGAAAACUCUUAUAUAAAUAUCUGAUUUUUUUAUUUUUUUCUUUCCAACUCUCAAAAACCUAUAAUUUAUCACUUAAAAUUUAAAAAUAUUUUUAGAGGAAUAUGAUGUUAAUGGAGAGGACGAAAUGAUCAAAUUAUCUUUAAUUAUUCUAUAAAUAAUAAUAAUAAUGAUAAUAAUAAAUUUUUAAUAUAUUUUUAUUAUUUUUAAGAAUUUUUUGAUAUGACUUAUAAGAAAUAGACGGAAUAGUGAUAAAAUUCUCAAAGAAGGGUUAAAUGCAUCAACUUAAAAUUUUGAAAAGAUAAAGGCGUAGUUUGGUAUUGAUGUCGAUCUAACGCUAUUAGAUAGAAUGGAGUUAAGAAAAAGCGUAUAAAGAUAGCUUCUGCGAUAUCCGAUGGAACCGCAGAAAAUAUAUCGUAAUCGACUAACCGCAAUGAACGCAAUAUUACGUACGGAAAUAAAUAGAAUAUUUUUCCAUUGUCGCACUCUUCCGCAAUUCCAAACGAAGCAAAAUGUAAUUUUCAGAAGUCAGAGACGAAAAGUGAAAAAAACAGUGACACUUACCAAAAAAAAAAAAAAAAAUCUAUAUUUCAGAUUUUCUAAUACUACAAAUUUUAAAAAAAAACUUAAAUUCUAAAAUAGAAUGUGCAAAAUUUGCACAAUUUUUUAGAUUGUAUCGGUAGCCGUGCUCUUUACCCAAUACCAAGAUUUUAGAAAACAAAACUUUUUUUUUUUGGGGGCCUCUAGAGGUUGUUGGUUUAAGAGGGUGUUUGGCCUAUCUUUUAAAAAGCACUUUUGGAUUGAAAAGUAAUUUUCUGUUCAAUAGAGCGUUUGGCAAUCUCACUUUUAAAAUCUGAUUCUGCUUUUUAGAAUCAGAAAACCGAUUUUGAAGUCCCCAAAAUCAGAAGCAGAAAAAAGUUGCUUCUUGAAAUCUGAUUAUAAUUUUGGACUCAAACUGCAAAUUUUUAUUUUAAUUUUAAAUUCAAUAUUUAAAUUUAAAUUUAAUUUUAAAUUUUAAUUUUCAGAUUCAUUUUUGAAUUUUUGAAUUUUAAUUUUUAAAUUUUUAAAUUUGAAAAAUAGAUUUCAAACUUUAAAUUUUAAAUUUUAAUUUUUAAAUUUCAAAUAUCAAAUUUUAGAUUUUAAAAUUUCAAUUUUCAAAUUUAAAUUUUAAAAUUUAAGAUAAAUUUAAAAUUUGACAUUUUAGAUUAUAAAAUUUAAAUUUAAAAAUUUAAAAAUUUAAAAUUUAAAAUUAUAAUUUUUAAUCUUCAAAUUAUAAAUUUUAAAAUUUUAAAUUUUUAAAUAUUCAAAGUUUAAAUUUUAAAUUUUAAAUUUCAUAAUUAUUUUAAAAUUUAAAUUUUAAAAUUUAAAUUUUAAAUUUUAAAAUUUAAAUUUUAAAUUUUAAAUUUUAAAUUUUAAAUUUUAAAAUUUAAAUUUUAAAUUUUAAUUUUAAAAAUGCUUUUAAAUAUUAAUAUUUUAUAUUUUAAAUUUCAUAAUUAUUUAUAUUUUUAAAUUUUAAUUUUAAAUUUUAAUUUUUAAAUUUCAAAUUUACUUUUAAAUUUUAAAUUUUAAAUUUUAAUUUUAAUUUAUAUUUUUAAAUAUUUAAAUUUUAAAUUUUAAAUUUCAUAAUUAUUUUAAAUUUAAAAUUUUUAAAAUUUUAAAUUAUUUUUUAAAUUAAAAUAUAAAAUUUUUAAAUUUUGUAUUAUUUUGAAAUUUAAAAAUUUUAAUUUUAAUUCAAAUUUAAAUUUAGAUUUUAAAUUAUUUUAAAAUGAAAUUUAAUAAAAAUAUUAAUUUAUGCAAACUUCAAAAAAAAUUUGCCAAACAGUUUUUCCAAAUCACUUUAGAAAAAUCGAUUUUAUCUAAAUUCAGCCAAACAUUCUACAGCUUUUAACCAAAAUCACUUUUUUAGAAAAUACUUUUUCAGAAGCUAGGCCAAACGGGCCCUAAGUCCCUACAUUGAAAACGGUGACACACGAGCGCGCACGCACGCGCGCGCCCGCACAAUUCUGAAACGAAAAUUUUGUUCAUUAUUAAAAUAUCUAUCUCAAAUUAUUUGCCUAAAUUUUAUCUGCAUACUCAGACAAAAUAAGAUUAUUUACGGAGAACAAAUACUAAGACCUAGGGUGAUAAUGAGGUGAGUGAAAAUAUCUAUUUUGUAAUUUAAAAGGUCUAAAAAUUUUAAAGAACUUUUUAAUUUUUUCUCAUCUAAUAAUAUAAACUUACAAUUGCAGCCACUAAGGGUGGCAAUCCAGCUCAGUGUUCGCGAGCCAGCACGUGCUCGGCUUGAACAGAACUCGAACCGGACACUACCUAAAAUUUUCAAUUCACGAGUUAGAGUUAGUUUGCUCGUGUUCAGCUCGAUAAUAGUUCAAAUACAUAUAUUUUAUAUAUAAAUAUAAAUAAAUAAUUAUAUAUAUAAUACAUAUUUUUAUUUUUUGAUUUUGAAUUCAACCUAAAUAUAAAGCCCAACUCAAUUAUAAAAAGACUAAUAUAUAUAUAAUUUGUACCAUUAGAUCAAAAUCUAAUAAAUAAAAAAUUAUAAAUUUAUUUUCUAUAUAUAUAUAAUAUUUAUAAUAUUUUUAACAUGUUAUUCGUAAGUCAGUUCGGCUCAUUAAUUAACAAGCCGAACACCCGCUAGAUGCUUUACCAAGCCAGCUCGUGCUAUAUUUCACCUUUCACUGUCCCUAAUACAAGUGGCACAGAACUUGACGCAAGUGGCACAGAACUUGACGAUUGGUACCCGAAAUCCUAAAUUCGAAUCCUAAUUGAUUAACAUUUUCAGCUAAGUUUAUUUAUAAAAAAAUAAACAUAGUGAAUAGCUUGCUAUCUUUCUCUCUCUAAAAAAAAAAAAAAAAAACCAAACCAGUUCUUGCUCGACUGGUUUUAUCAGCUACCCAACAAACAUGUGCCUAUUACAUAAAAUAAGAAAAUAUUUUUAAAUAUUUUUAAAUUUCUAAGCCUUCCAAAAUGGAAAAUAAAAUAAAAUACUUCUUAAUCACUACUACAUUAUCAAACUAGGCCUAGGGAGGCCAUAAAAAUCACAUAUGGCUGAAUUAAAUUUUAGUACCUCAUCUCUAGACAUCUGACUUUCAUCAAAACAAACAACGAAAGAAAAAGCUUAAUUCUGAGCAAUUUAAACUUCAUUGCAUUUAAAUUCCACCAGCAUCUAAGAUUCAUCAAUCCAAAGAAGAUGACAACAACCUAAAGGGCCCAAAAAAAACAGUAAUGAAAAGCACAUUAACAAGGAUAGGAAGAAGCACAUUAACCAAGGAUAGAAAAAAGCUUUUGAUCUUAAGAAGCAUUACCUUCCCUUUAAUGUGCAUCCAAAAGGAACUCAAAACAACUUCAACAACUUCAUCUCCAAAAUUGACAUUAGCUCGGGAUAGGAAAAACUUUCAUUCUUAGAAGCAUUAUAUUCUCUGCAAUUAUCAGCCCUAGAUGCAACAACUUGUGAUCUUAGAAGCACUAUUUUCCCUUCAAUGCGCACCACGGAAAGCAUUAGACAACUUAAAACAGCCUCGGGUUCGCGACGGAGUUGUUCACUGAUGGUUCAAAUUGCAAGUCCUAAACAUUAAGUUUCAUUAGGGCAGUUUUUAAGAACAUCAUUAAACUAUCUCCAAACUAUUCUCUCCAACCUACCCUGGGAAUAUCUAAACAAAUUCAGAAUUAUACAAUUAUCUCUGGUUCUGCAGCACAUUAAGCAAUAAGCUUUAUACCAUCUACUUCAAUAUGCAAAACCAUAAAAUUAACCGAAACUAGUGGUUGGCGUCCGCAAGUUGAGAAUAGGAGAAUCCGGGUUGUGAAGGAGCUGCUGCAGCAGGAGCAGCAGUGGAAGCGCCAAAGGCAUCGUAGCUCGCUGAAGAAGGGGCCGUGGGGGCGCCUCCUGAAGCCGGCGGGGUCAGUGUCGGCGGCCGUGGGAGACUCAGCAUCUGCAUUGGCAUAGAAGUGGCGCCUGGCGGCACCAUUGGGGGUGGAACAGUUGGAGCGCCUGGAGCCACAGCAUAACCUGUUGAUAAUAAAUGUAAGAUUAUUUAGCUAGAGUGCUAAUACAGAGGGUUUACAUGAACUUGCCCCAUGAUGUUCGUAAGUAUAAAUAAACAAUUGAAAUAAGGGUCAAACAACAUAAUCACAAACAUAGAGAAUGAACUCCUACCUAUUUUUCAAGGCCAGGAGUCAAAAUUUUCGCAAUUCAUCCCAUAAAUGUAAGACAUAAAUUUCAGAGAAGUUGUGUUCUGCUAAUGUUUCAGCUAAGUUUUCCCAACUGUUAGUCAUAAUUCAUAAGCACUAUAUCAAAAAAAAGGGGAAAAGAAAAGAAAAAAGCACUUCGUUGUUGUACGAGUAAAUCUACUCAUGGUCUUCAAGCUAAUUUUAUUCCUUUUCCCGCAAGUAAUUAGGGCUCGAUAUAAGACUCUAUACUCAACAUUCUCAAUCCAGUUUCUUCUCAUACAUAGGUUAGUGAAAGGAAUUUGUUUUCACUGUGCUGUGUUAAAUAGGAUGGCUUUUGAUCAAGUCAUCAGUUGAGACUGGGUUACUGAAAAUUAAUAGGUAAAAAUGUAUGGAGACCCCCUCAAUUAUAGGCCAUUCUGAAAUAAUCCCUUCGACUUCCAUUUUUUUUUUUUCUUUUUGUUGACUCACCUUAUCUUCUUCUUCUUUUUUUAUUUAAGUUCUUAUAGUUAUUAAGCCAUAUUUCGUGGCUCAGUUAGUUAUUAGCAAUUAAUUUGCCCAAUUUUAUUUGCUAUAAAACAGUUUAAACUAUUAAAUUUGAUGGAUAUAUUAAUUAAAUUGGUGAAAUUUCUACUUGUCUAAAAUCACUUAAUUCCAAGAAUUCAAAAGUUAAGGGGAUCUCAAUUAAAAAAAAUUAUAGUUCAGGGGGUUAUUUGUGAACGGCCUAUAGUUGAGGGGGUCUCGAUACAUUUUUACCAAAUUAAUUUUCGUAGGCUAUGUGCAUUCUAUCUCAUCUACUACAUUUCUUAUACUUAUUUCUCUCUUUCUUCUCGUUCUUCCAUUUUCGUUAUGUCGUAACUCCAGGCUACAUUAAUUUGCCACUUGAAAAUGUUUUUCCUGUGAACACAACCCCCCCUCCCCCCACCCCCAAAAAAUAGUAAAAAAUAAAAAACAAAAAAUAAAAUACAGCACAAGCUAGUUCUUCUUGUCUUUUGGAUAGUUAUCAGAUGCAAAUCAAACACAUUUCUUCUGAGAUAUUUCGUUCUUCUUAAUCAUCUUAAUGCACAAUAAAAUUAUGAAUGUGUUUUACGACUAAAACGAAAGACAACUUAUGCAGAAGGGAACUUCCAAGCGUUGAAUUCAGUAUUCAGCAUUCAAUUAAUAAAUCAUGAAAUAUGACCUAAAUUACGCAAGAAAAAUAAAGCAGGAAAGUGUUCAAUCUUCAUUAACAUUGCAACAUUGCUGCAUAAACAAUAGAUAAUCGAAAUAAAAAUUCCACAGAAUUAAGCACCAGAAAACAAAGUAGAGGAAAUGAAAUGGUUUUAUUUUACCCGGAGCACCAACAACUGGGGUCGGCAAAACAGGGGGUCUGACUCCUGGAAUUGGCGGAGUUGCUCCAAUCGGCAGAACUGGUGGUGGUAGAACCGGAAGACGAGGCCUCGGCAUACCUCCAGGCAUGGAAAGAAGAUGUUGGUUGAAAGCAGCACCCACCUGUUGCUGGAAAGCAGCAGCCUGUCCCAAAUGCUCUUUGAUUCUUUGAUCAAUUAAGCUUUGAGUCUGCUGCUCUUCAAAUUGCUGAUAAUAGGAUCGUACAUUUGCCUGACAUAACAAUAUAUAAACUGAGCAAACAUUAGAUAGCAGAAGAAAAGGUGAAACAUAGAAGAUAUCAUUGCCUGCAGACGGCAAGCCAUGUCAAGCAUGCAGCAUAAUGAUCUGCCAUUGUCUGUUCUCUUACUCCAGUCACCACUAUCCAAGUUAGUUGCGGCCUUCUCUUUGAUUUUAAAGAUAUUUUUUGGCGGAUGGUUUGGAUUGGAAAUCUAAGAGGGGCCGGGGGCAUGGCGUUGCAGUGGGUGAUGUGGCACACCUGCUGUAGGCAAUAGAUUCUCGAAUGGUAACCUUGAGUAUAAUAAGAGAAAUUUUCAUACCUUGUGCUUGUAUCCAGCAUUAUGUUGCUUUCUAACAGAUGGCUGCAUCAAUUAAAUCAACAGUAAGCAAUAUUUAUAUGUUAAACCAAAAUACCAAAAAGCAGGACAAAAAAAAAAAGAAGAAAAAAACCAGAAUAUGGUUGAUAUGAAGCCUCACAUAUCAACAGAUAGAACUAAAAGGAAAGCUAAUACCAGGGCGAAUGGUGUAGUAUAAUUAGAAAUUGAGGAAAAUAGAUACUGAUUAAUAAAAAUGAUUAGUGGCAUCUGAUGGUGAAACUAUGCAAUUGGACCUCAUCUUCAUGAACAUGAAAUAAUAUUGCUAAAGGAAACAUCGAUUUCAGUUCACUUUAGGAAAAUAACAAUAAUCAAAAUAUUUUUUUUUAAAAAGGACUGCCAAUAUAAAAGCAAACUUGCUUAUGAAACCCAGCAGUCAGAGUAAGAUACGGCAUAAGUAUAUACUAAUUUACCUUUCAACCUUAAAAGACCUAAAGAUAUAAGGAAAAAAGAAGAAAGCGGUUACACCAAUACCCACAACUCCAUACCAAUUAGACCCCAUAAGGCAAUCUAAAUCUUACUUUAACACACAAAUUCAAUUCCUGGUUUCAACCAAUCAUUAAUGGUUCUUGAAGAAAGACAAUACAGGAAAAUGUAACUAUCGCCAUCCCGAAGAAAUCUUGUUUGGUUGGGAGGAUAGAGUGGGCAGAUUGGUAAGUUUCUCCAUUAGUGCCGUUGAAUUGUUAGAAUGUACAAAUGAUGCAACCCUAUUUACAGUUGGGAGAAGUAAAUAUCCCCACUGGCUGCUUCAUUCCCAUGGAUAGAGAUGCUGUGGGAUCGGGGGAAUAUAUGAAACUUCAUGCAUAAUCAACUUAUCUUGGUAAUCCCAUCACUAUUCCCCACCAAACAAAUGGAGAAAGUAAGUUCCCAUGGAAGAUUUUCAACCCUAUCCCUAAGAAAUGCUCAAAGCAAAUACUGUCCAUGUAAAUCCUAAAAAUACAAAACCUCACAGGGAUGUAUAAACCCUUCCAACUAAUGGAUUUCUCUUUGUUCAAGUCAUAUGAGUCUCUUAGAGCAUAGCAUCUAUCAAAUUUGCAAAUGAUGUGUAGAUAUCGAUCUAAAACUUAACCUUAAACUCCCCAAAAGCACGUACUGGGUUCCUAAAUGUCAAUUGUUUAUAAAAGAAUAGUUGCAAGAGAAAAUGAAUAGCCACUCACCUCAAAUGCCAAAGAACACCAUGUAAUAAAAAAAAUUCUAACCCAGUUUAGAUAGUCCAAUUCCAAACUUUGAAAACAAGGUUCACCAAAAACAAAGCAAAAAAAAGUUCCACUGUGCAUCCUUACAUCAUAACUUCAUACACAUUAAGCACUCACAAAAGGACAAUUCUGCUUGCUGAAGAACUACUUCCAUCGUGCGAAUAUUCUCUCUCGAAUAGCUGCAUCUAAAAUCUAUAAACAGUGUCCAUAGUCAAUCAUUACAAAAUAAAUGACAAUGAUUGUACAAACAGUGUGACAUAUUGAAGGUGAUAAUCAAGUAACAAGUAGCAUCGAGGACCAAGCCAUCAAGAACCGAAUUGCAUAUUUGGCCCGGCUUCUGGAAAAAGUUCCUUAUUCCAAAUGCUCUAAAGUAGGAGCUUCUACAAAUCAGACAUUUUGGCAACGAAAAACUGGAGCUUUUGCGAACGAAGCUAAAAUACACUUUUAGGUCUUAAAAGUAGAAGCUCCAAUGUAAAACUUCUACUGUAAUGUGAAGUUAUUGAAGAGAUAUUUUAAAGCAAUAGUUUUGAGUGCUUCUUCGAAUAGCUCUAGUGAGACGACACUUUUGUAGGAGUUUGGGCCUGGCCAAACAGGUUUCUAAUUCUAAGUAGAAACAACUUUAACCUGAACAGAUUAUAAGUUUCCAGACCUGGCAGCUCUGCAGUAACAACAAACACAUAGCACUAACAACCAACAUAGAACAAUAGAAGCAGCACCUCGGCAUUAAUAAUAAAGCUAAAUAAUCCUCCACAACAUCAACGUAUUUACUCUCAAUACAAUCUACUCCUAUAUAUUUUCAUCAAAAGUGUACAAACAGAUCAAUUCGCUCGACCCUAUUGACAUUUACGGCCUCUUUAGCCCCACUUCUAUUUCUAGUUUCAGCGACAGUCAUAUGCAAUACUGCGUUUAACAACUAGAAAAGCCUGAAGCUUUGUGGUAGCAGGAAACACACACACAAAAAAUGAUUUUGAGAUCCGAAAGCACACAAGCUCUAAUCUGAAGCUUCGAAUUCUACUGCAGAGAGAAGCAACAAUAGGGGGCGUAAAAUUAAUUGUCCUAAUCGCACUGCAUCACCAAAAAGACAUCCACGCACCUAACUAUACCCUUCCUCACCACUUACAACAACUUCAAAUUCACAAAAUCGAAACAUGCCCACAAUGAUUCUUUGUUAUACAAACAGAAGACACAAAACCCUACAAAUUCCACAAUCCACAAACAACACACAAAAAAAUAACAAAAGGAUCAAGGGGAAAAUGCUUACAGAAUCGUGGGUGAGGUACGUGUCGCAGUAAUCGCAGUAAUACCUGAAACCAAAAAGAAGAAGAUGAAGAAGAUUAUAGAUGGAUUAAGGGUUGGAAAAAUGUAUAAAAAUAUGAAUAAUUCGAGAAGAGAUUAGAUGUGAGAGACGAGAGAGAGAGAGAUUAGGGUUUACCGAGGCAUAGCGAGGAAGGGGAAAGAGAUCGCGAAGCUUCGGGAACGAAGCGAGAGAGAGAGAGAGAGAGAGAGAGGAGGUGCGAUGGAGAAGAAGGGUAGAAUGGAAGUUAAAAUAUAUGGAAACCCCCUCAAGUAUAGCAUAUUUUGAAAUAGGUCCCUCGUUUUCGACUUUUUCAAUAUAACCUUUUAAAAAUUUAUAAUUUUUGAAACAAUCCUAUUAAGAUUUUAUUUGACCCAAUCUAUAUCUAUAUUCUAAAGGGGGUGGAGUGUGUUCUUUAUUUGUGGACACAUGUCUGUUUUGAAUAUUUGGUGCACCCGGUGUACCAUGGAUUAAGUGAAAGAAAUAUAGAUAUUGGGUUUGUUGGGUGCUCCUACUGUGGACCAUGGACCUACUAUAAACCAUGGGUGAAUUUGGAUUUGUAGUGAUACCUGUCCAUUUUGAAUAUUUGGUGCACCCGGUGUACUAUGGAUUAAGUGAAAGAAAUAUAGAUAUUGGGUUUGUUGGGUGCUCCUACUGUAGACCAUGGACCUACUAUAGACCAUGGGUGAAUUGGAUUUGCAGUCUCUUAAACUUCAACACAUGUUGUUUCAAACUUUUAACAGCCGUAUUUUUUUUCUACACUUUCAAAUUCGCUUUUGGCACUAGCAAGUUUUGUUCCUUGACACCUAAAAAUUAUUUGCCUACAUGCCAUGGUUAGAAUUUUUUUUAUCUUUUUUGGUAAAUCGAAAAAAAAAAAAAAGGAAAAACUUCAAAAACCCUCCCUGUGGUUUCACACUUUUUCAUUUUAGUACCAUGUGGUUUAAAGUUUAUCAAGUUAGUACCCUGUGGUUUCUCACUUUAUCACUUUAGUACCCUGUGGUUUAAAAUGUAUCAAGUUAGUACCCUGUGGUUUUGCACUUUAUCACUUUAGUACCCUGUGGUUUCACACUUUAUCACUUUAGUACCCUGUUUUAAAAAACCACAGGGUACUAACUUGAUACAAAUUAAAACCACAGGGUACUAAAGUGAUAAAGUACAAAACCACAGGGUACUAACUUGAUACACUUUAAACCACAGGGUACUAAAGUGAUAAAGUGAGAAACCACAGGGUACUAACUUGAUACAUUUUAAACCACAGGGUACUAAAGUGAAAAAAAUUGAAACCACAAGGGGGUUUUUUGAAGUUUUUCCAAAAAAAAAAGAUUUACAAUUUUUAGGGAUAACUUCAAAAACCCCCCAUGUGGUUUCCAACUUUCUCACUUUAGUACCAUGUGGUUUAAAAUGUAUCAAUUUGCCCCCAUGUGGUUUCGUUUUUCUCUUUUUUUUAUUAAUUUUAUUUUUUUUUUUUUUCUCAAAUCAGUAACAAAAUUAAAAUUAAAGAAUACUAAAGUAAAUAUUCGGUAAAUCUAGAUGGAUAUCUGAUGUUUUUUUGCAUAUAAUUUAACGAAAUAUUAAGAAAAAAACUAUAGAAAAAAUAAAAAUAAAACCACGGGGGGCCAAAUUGAUACAUUUUAAACCACAGGAUACUAAAGUGAGAAAGUUGGAAACCGCGGGGGAUUUUUGAAGUUUUUCCUAAUUUUUAUUCACCUAUAUAUAUAUACAGUAACUUUUCAAUUUUUUACAGCUUUUUCUUCUUCCAAUCCUCCAUCAGGUAUGUUAUUGCUUGAAAUUCUAUUAUUUUUUAAUGUGCAUUUAGUUGGCUUAUUUCCUUUAAUUGAUGAUAUUUUGUAAAUUGAAUGGUUGUAAAAUAGUAAAAUAGUUAAAAAAAAAAAACAUAAAUUAUUUAUUAACAAGUUAUUCUUGAAUUUUUUUCAAAAUAUUUAACUAAUUACUUUGAUACUUUUUUUUUUAUUCCUUAUAGUACACUGUAUGUACCAAGCAUUUAUGUAAUUUUAGUUACAUUUUCUGCUUUUGUCAUUUAAUAUACACUCACGUAAUUUGUUUGUAUAAAGUAGAUUAUGUGCUCUUUUUUCAUAAAAAAAAAAUUGCUAAUUGCUGAUAAGUUUUUAUAUAAUGUUUUUCUAUAAAAAAUGAAUAGGUGUUUGCUGAUAAACUUGGAUAGUUCUUACAUACUUUAAUUAGAUGUUGUUUUUUUAAAAUUUUUUAUUACCAUAGUUUCUGUAAUAAAGUUUAAUUUAUUAAGAUAAGAGAGCUACUUUAAUAAUAUAAACCUACAAGAAGCCUAGCUAAUCCUUGGGUGGGACUUACUAAUUAAAAAAAAAAAUCAACAUUUAAGUACUUUUUUGUGAAGCAUGUCGGUUAUAAUUUUCUUCAAGUAUAUGUUACAGCAAAUCACUAACCAGUUAUGAGAUUUGCAUACGUUUUUUAAUAAAAAAUGAAUAGGUAUUUACCAAUAAGUUUUGAUGAUUUUUACAUGCUUUAAUUAUAUAUUUUGCUUUUUUUAAUUUUUAUAUUAUCUUAUAAUAAAGUUUGAUUAAUUAAGAUAAGAGCUGACUAUGCCCUAUACAAAAUUUUUCAUGCUACUUUAUAAUAUAAAUCUACAACAUGCCUAGCUAAUUCUUAGGUAGGGCUUGCUAAUUAAAAAAACUAAUAUUUAAGAAAAUUUCUUUCGAUCAUUCCCAUUUGGUUAGCAGCCGUUGGGGAAUGAAGUUUUCGGAAGGAAAGUCAGGCCGUUUUUAGAGCUUAUUCCGCCGUUGGUGGACAGCUUUUUCUUUUGAGGGAAAAAACGGUAUAACAGAAGGAGGCGGGACUAAAUUUGUUAAUAUUGGAGCAUAGUAAUAUAUCCUACAUUUUAUAAAUAUAAUUAAAAACAUACUUAUUGCACCGCAGCGAAGCGCGAGUAUAUCGCUAGUAAAUUCUAUUUUGCCCGGCUCAACAACAAGGGAGUUAGGGAGAAGAACAAUUGGAAGAUGGUGAAUUAUUUACCGUUUUUAAUAAAAUUUAUAGUUCUCCAAAAAUAAUACUACUCAUACAUUCAAAAGUAGGUAUAUAUCUUAUACAUCAUAUCUAUUCAAUGGAUAGGAGUCACUGACUAGUCAGUGUUAGAUUGGUGGGGUGUAUGAUGUGCAUCUUGAUUGGAAUGUGUAAGUAGUAUUUAGAAAGAGAGAGAGAGAGAGAGGAAAAGGAAGAAGGAAACUAGAGUUGUGGUAGACGGUGAGAAUAAAACGCACUAUUUAGCUUGGUUAAUCUCAGCUAUUCUUAUUUCGGGUGUGAGAUAUACCCCAAAAAAAAUGAUGUAUUAUUAGAUUUUUUUUUUUUUUUCUAUUUUCAUAUAAAGACAGUCACUUCAAAAUUAAAUUUUAAUUUUUUAGAUAUAAAUUUUAUAAAAAGAGUAAUUUUGAGUACAAAUGUUUCACAAAUCAAACAAUGACCUUCUCCUUUUGUUAAAUUUUUGGGACUAUUUCACGCCUAAUAAGUAGGUUUUAUUUUAAAUCAUUUGUUCGGUGCAUGAAUUGUGUCCAGACGCCGGGUGCAGGGAAUGACGUGUGAACUUAUAUCAUACGCUCUCUCUCCGCCGUUGGAUUCAACGAUCGCCUCCCAUCACAUGCUUCACCUAUAAAUACCCCCAACCCUAAUUAGGGUUUUCGAGAGCAACACUCAAAAGAGACGACGACGACGAAGACGACGACGAACCUCUUCCCCCACAAUGGGUACGUAGACCAUUCCGAAACCCUAGAUCCCCUUUCUCUCUCUCUCCUUGAUCUCUUUUCCGCUUUUCAUGACCAUGGCGAUCCCGUCUUACUCGCAGGUAUCUCUCGCGACUCCAUGCACAAGCGCCGCGCCACGGGGGGGAAGAAGAAGGCGUGGAGGAAGAAGAGGAAGUAAGGCUCUCGAUCUCGCGCACUAGUAUACUCGACAUGUGGUGUUUCUCUUCGCAUUUUUGCGUUGAUUCCUCGUCCUUUUUUUGCUUUUUUUUUUUUUUUUUUGAUUUGUGGAUUGGCUUGUUAGGGUUUUUGUGUUGGUUGAUGAGAUUUUUAGUCGUUUCUGAUGAAAAUUUUUGUGUAUAAAUCCAUAGAGACUCCUGAACUAUAUCCCAUUAUGUACUAUGAUGACGCUUUUUCUUUUUCUUUAACUGAUACCCGUUCUAGUUUUUGUUUUUCAAUGAUUUAGUUAACUAAACUGAGGAUUUUGUCAGAUUCGACAGUAAAUUUGCUAAAUUUGAUAGGUUGAAGUACUUUUAGCAACUAAAACUGUAGCAAUCAAUGGCUAAUAGUUGAUCGAUCCACUGAAUUUAUCAAAAUUCUCAGAUUCUUUAACUAUGAGAAUGACAAAUCCAGUAAAAUUAGAAGUUGAAGGGUGUCAAUUGGGAGAAGUAAAGUUGAGGGGCCUAGUUCAAAAUGACCCUUUGUUGAGGGUUUUGGUACAUGUCUACAAAAUUCUCAUGUAGAGUUGCUUUUUCUGCUUCCAAUGUGCCUUGUAAGGUAUGAGCUGGGUCGGCAGCCGGCGAACACUAAGCUAUCGAGCAAUAAGACGGUGAGGAGGGUUAGGGUUCGAGGGGGCAACGUAAAGUGGAGGGCUCUUAGAUUGGAUACGGGUAAUUACUCGUGGGGAAGCGAGGCUGUGACCCGCAAGACCCGUAUACUUGACGUGGUAUACAACGCGUCCAACAAUGAGCUCGUGAGGACGCAGACCCUAGUGAAGAGCGCUAUCGUGCAGGUCGAUGCGGCGCCCUUCAAGCAGUGGUAUCUUCAGCACUAUGGUGUGGAGAUUGGCAGGAAGAAGAAAGCUCCUGCUGCUGGAAAGAAGGACGCAACUGAGGUGAGUUUCUUAUUUUGUUUUUUGAUUAUCAUUGUAGCUGAGAGUUGGUUUACUGGAUAAAUGUGUAGUUGAAACUCCCAAACUUUAUAACUCUUGUGUAUUUUUAGUUGAUCUGUGUAAUGCUCUUGUUCAACUAUAGUUUAAUAUAAUUUUUUAUCGAACAUUGAGACUGUUUUGUGUCUUUUUGGUGACUGAUGCUACCAAAGAGUUUAAUUUGAUUAGGGUCAUAAAAUUGCAUAUAGAAUGUCCCUCUAGGUAUUACAGGUUGCGGUUAUGCAAGCAAAAGUGCUGACCGAGUCUUGUAUUUGGGUACAAUUUUAGCUCCUAGGUGCUUAAUUCUGUGCAAAAGUAAGGGACGCUUAAAUCUUGACAAAUGUCAACUUUUCCUCCCUAGUCCUUAUACGCACCUGUCAACCUGAGUAGUCUGUUUCCUCUUUGAGAUACUGAACUGCAGGUUAUAUUUGUUACAAUUUCCCUGCUCUGUUUAUAUCCGGUUCAGUAUCUUGGGUUUGAGCUUGCUAGUGUUUUAUGUAUUUCCUUUUGAUGUAUAGACGCAUGGAUGUUUUAAGCAGUGGGAAGCCUUGAAAGUUGGGCGGGGAUUCAAAAAUUUUAAAAAGCUCUAAACGGUGUAAGUAAAAGAAAUGCCAUGAAUUGUGUGAAAUAGUAAGAUAGCCUUCAUACUAGUAUGGCUUGAUUACUUUUGUCAGUGUUCACGUGGUUGCAUUGCCUUUUUCUCUUGAAAAUGGUAAUUUCCUUGUAUAUUGUCUCUUCUUCAUUGUAACUAUUUGAAAUCAUUGUAGUUCAUUGGCUUUUGACUUUUAAAAAUAUUUUUCUUCAGACCAAUUUAAGAUUCAAAUAAAACCAAGUGGAAAUGGAAUCAGUUGUAGCUAGAAAGGCCAAAGCAACCAUGAUUGUCGUUAUCAUAUGCUUCCUCUCUCCAUCUGUUGGUUUCCAUUAAAUCCUACUUACCGUCCUCAUAGUGGUAAACAUAUAUCAUUCUGGCUGUUCAUGUUGGACAGGAGGGAGAAGGUGCCACGGAGGAAUCCAAGAAGAGCAACCAUGUCCUGAGGAAGCUCGAAAAGCGCCAGCAGGGCCGCACACUUGACCCCCACAUCGAGGAGCAAUUCGGCGGUGGGAGGUUGUUGGCCUGUAUUUCUUCCCGCCCGGGUCAGUGCGGCAGAGCCGAUGGGUAAGAAGAGACACAUUCCUAUAUGCAACCAUUUUUUUUACUCUUUUUUUUUUUUUUCUUCUCUUUGAAUUGUGUGUUUAGCUUGACUUUUGGAACAACUUUGCUACUCUAGAAAGUAUGUGUUUGGCUUACAAAAAACGCCGACUCUUUAGUUAUGAAGCGGGGAGCUAGAAUGAGCUCUUAGGCUCGAAAUUACAAUCUAUAAUUUGAAGCUUCUUUUUCUUCUGCUUCUAUUGAGGCUUUUGAGAAGAUUAUAAAGGAAAAGUUGUUAGUGCUUCUCAGAACAGCUUUACCCGGCCAAACAACUCUGAGGAGAAAGGACCGGAGAGCGCUGUAAAUUUUCUAACUGGUAGAUAGACGUUUGAUUUCAGAAUGGUCUACAAUUUUUUGCAGAUAUAUUCUUGAAGGAAAGGAGCUAGAGUUCUACACCAAGAAGAUCCAGAGGAAGAAGGGCAAAGGUGGUGCAGGAGCCGCGGCUUAAGCAAACCCUUUAUUCUUUAUUCGUUCACUUAUCCGCACUUUGCCAACCUAUCCAUCUCCGCGUUUGCAAUGGUAGGUACCUAAUUGAGUUUCAACUUACACUGUUAAUCAAUCGAAAUUUUGAUAGUGAACUCUAGCUGGUAGGGAUGAGAACUUGUUUUUGUUGAUCGCAUGAUUGUAUGCUCGAGUAUGUAAACUUAGAUUUUCAUGCAUUUAAGAUUAUUUGCUCUGUGCCUGCUAUUAGCUUCAUUCCUUGAAUUAAUUGUAGAAAGAUCUAGCAAUGUGUUGCAUGGUCCACAUAAGAACCAAAAUAGGUAUUGUCUAUUGUCUUUCUUUUCAUACAUGUAUGCAUCAAAGGCGUGAAUUAAAGUGAAUGUUCUAACAUUGGAUCUUUUUUGUUAAAUGAAAAGAAUUUUUCGGCAGAAAUGUUCUUUUUUUUAACAAAAACCUGUGACUGGUGUUUACAAUAAUUUUCCAUCAGUAAAGUUGUGAAAUCUACUAUGUUUACCGAGUAGAAAAGCUCUAAAUUAUUAUUAUUAUUAUUAUUAUUAUUAUUAUUAUUAUUUACAUGCAAUGCAAUGCUAUAAAAGUUGGGUGCAAAAUUUACACCCAAUCCAUCUUAAGAGUUUAGAUAGCUCUGGUUUUAAAAACUUAAAAAAAAAAAGUGUGAAUUAGGCUAAUAAGUGUGAAACAAUGGGCUUUUGAGUGGAGGUGGUAGCAUUCCAAUUUUUUUUUGGGUGUACAUGUAUUACUCUUUCUCGAACUCUAUGACCUAGUUGGGUAAUGUGAUGACAAAAGAUAUUAUUUGUUUAUUAGGAUAAACUUCAAAUACCAAUCAUGUGGUUUCUCGAUUUUUCAUUGAUAGUAUCCUCUGGUUUAAAAUGCAUCAUUGUAGUAUCCUGUGGUUUUAUUUUUUUUUAUUUUUUUUCGUCAGUACCUCUGGUUCCGUGAUUUUUCGUUUUAGUAUCCUCUAGUUUAAAGUGUAUCAUUUUAGUACCCUGUGGUAUUAUUAUUCUUAUUAUUAUUAUUUUCGUGAGUACCCCUGCUAACUCUCCAUUAAACAAUUAUAUAUAUACAAAAAAUUUUAGAUACUCCAUUUAUAGUUUAUCUAAUAUUUACUUUAGUAUCAUAUGAAAAAUUAAUGUAGAGAAUAACGAAAAGAGAAAAAUGAAACCACAUGAUACUAAAGUCAUGUAUUUCAAACCAUAGAGUGUUAAAGUGAGAAAACGCAAAAUCAUAUGGGUGAUAUUUGAAGUUUUUUUCUUUAUUUUAUAAAGAUAAUAUCUAAUAUAUUUUUUAAAACUUUUAAAAUAUUUCAUACACCCAUGGUCGAUCAAAAUAUACUUGGUGUUUUUCAAAAAUUCUUUUGAAUAUUUCUAAAAUUUGAUGUAACAUUUCAAAACAUAUUACAUCAAAUUUGAACUUUUCAGAUAUAGAUUCAAAUAUAACAUCAAAAUAUACUGUUGACGACAGUAGCAUCCGGUACCAAUUAAGGAUGUCAAUGGAUACGAAUACUCAAAAUUUUACUUAUUGAAACUCAAAAAUGAACGCCGCUGAUUUAUCUAAUGCUAAACCUAUAUAUUUUUAGAUAUAGGUAUAAAAUAUAAAAAUUCGACAGAUUUGGAUUCGGGCAUUUUAUUUCUAAGUGAUCUGAAUCCGAAUUGAUUUUAUAUUAUAUAAUAUAUAUAUAUAUAAAUAUUUGAUGUUAUAUUUGAUUCUGUAUUUAAAAAGUUUAGAUUUGAUGUAAUAUGUUUUGAAAUAUAAUAAAAAAAAGAUUUGUUUUUGGGUUCGGGUUUCAAAUUUUUGGUUGGGUUUGGAUUCGGAUACAGACUUUAAAUUUCGCCGGAUUCAGAUUCAGGGCGUAGGGCUUGGUAGUCAAAUUGGCAUUCAGGCUUUUGAAAAUCUACCCCGAAUCCGAUUUGUUAACAUCUCUAGUUUCAAUUUGGGGUGUCAACGUGUCGGAUCCGACUCCAAAUCUGAAAUUCAAACCCGAACCCGAUAGAUUUUAAAACUUCAUAUCCAAAUUCGAAUCCGACCAAAAAUUCGAAACCCGAACCCGAAACAAUUAUUUCUCUUUUCAAUAUUUCAAAAUAUGUUACAUUAAAUUUAAAUUUUUAAAAUACAAAUUCAAAUAGAACAUCAAAUUUUUAUAUACAUAUUAUAUAUAAUGUGAAAUAAGUUCGAAUUCAAGUUCGAGUCGGGUAUAGUCAAAAUUCAUAUCCGAAUCCAUAUCCGUCGGAUCGUUGUUUUUAAUAUCCAUAUCCGAAAUUAUAUUCAUUUAGUAUCGAAUAAAUUCGCUCCGUUUAUAUUCGAGUUCGACAUCCCUAGUUUCAAUCUUUUUCGUAUCAGUCCUACAGUGUGGCUGCAGAGUAGGACUGUAGGAGCAAGAAAUGUCAAAAAUUUUAGUCCAAACCCAGUUUACAUCUACUCCGAUUUGGACGCGACAUCCGUCUGAUCAGGGACGAAGUCAGGAUUUAGACUUCGGAGGAUCUUAAAAUUGGUUUUUAUAAAAUAAAUUAUAAUAUAAGUUCGAUAUACAAGGCAAAAGCAUUUCACAAAAAAAAAAAAAAAAAAAAAAAACUUUGGCCUCUAAAUUUUAAUAAUACUUUUAAUUUUUAUUCUAUCAUAAUCAGAGACGAUUAUGUAAUUUUUAAAAAGUUGCGGGAGGCCGUGGCCAUUGUGAGCCUCUCAAUAGCUCAGUCACUGUUGUCCUUUUCUACCUUUAUCUUUCAGUUAAAGUGGAAAUAGCCUUGGUAAAUUUUGCAACUAGCAAUGAAUGAAAUUUUUAGAAAACUGCAGAAAUAGCCUUGGUAAAGUUGAGUUCCGCACAAACUGCAAACUGUAAUCGCAUCAUCUGCUAAAGUUUUGUACUGCAGCUGGAGGACAUGCAGAGCAUGUUGGCUGGCGCCAGCAUAUUUUUGAAAAAUUAAUCUGAGAAGUAGUUACCACCGCUUUAUUCUAAUUCGAUCUGGAGAUGAGUGGAAGACCAUUUCAAAGAAGCGAGACGGCUUCUAUGAAUGGCUAGCCUCAAAGAGAGGGAGAGAAAAAAAAAAUAAAAAACUUCAUUAGUUUUUGCCCGAAGGGCAGCUCUACGUCUCCCAAGAAGAAUUCUAGACAAUAUUUUAAAAAUCAGAUCGAACAGUGUCCUAAGAAUAUUACUGGAUCAAGAGUCACUGAUUCAAUAAACACUAAUUGAACCAGUCACUUCAACAUGACGUCAUAAAUACUUGAUUAUUAUUUUUAGUUUUAUUAUAAAGAUAUAUGUAUUAUUCUAGUAUCGUAUUUACUUAAAAAAUACUGAGUUUUAGACCAAAUUAAGUAGACAUAAGUUUUUUUAAGACUAGUAUAUGAUAAUAGAAAAUAAAAUCAUUGAUUUCUAAGCCGUUGGAUUUUACUAUAACUUAGAUCAAACGGCCAAGUUUAAUUAAAACCAGAGCGGUUCACUGGUUCGAUAGUUGAACCGUCGAAUGAAAUAGUUAAAAACAGUUCUUUGACUUAUCUCAUUGAAAGGGUGAACUGAACUGAACUGAACUGCUUCCAAGAAUGCUCUAAAGAAUGCAAAAGGCCAGAUUGCCUAGGUAACCAAGAAAAAGGGAACGGCGGGCGCUACCUUACCACUCUUUCCGAUGGCAAUGAUCGGAAAAAAGGAAGGUGUGUGGUUGAUGUGUCACUAGGUCGGCCCGGGAUACGACCUGCCGGAUUCACAACAGAAAUCGCCAACAUGAACACAAUCGAUGCUCGAUUGCGUUCCUACUCCAUUCUAUUCUCCAGUGAAAUCUCAUAGAAUGCCGAUGGAAUACAUUUUGGAAAGAAAACUAUUUAGUACUUUGGCCUCCUAGUGUUUGUUUCAUCGAAAGUGGAGAGGAAUGAAAUAACUUUUUAUUGUUUACUGUAACUUUACCUUCGGUCGAAACUCAGACUCCUCAAAAUGCCAUACUUGUUAAAAAAAAGAAGAAAAUAAUAAAAUAUUAAUCUAUCUCUCAUAUUUUCGAUUGUGUUCAUGUUUUUCAAAACAGCGCAAUUUCAAAAUAAGAUUGCGCUGUUUGAAAAGAAUGUUGCACUCUUUGAGACGAAAAUUAUAUUUUUUGAUACGAAAAUUGCACUCCUUAACCGAUAGUUAUACUUUUUUAAAAAAAGUUGCACUUUUUAUUCCGAUAAUGCAAAUUAACAAUUAAAUGAUUAAUAAUGGUGUGGCAUUACCUACAGCGGCCAAACAUCAUUUGAAGUCUUGUCGAGCGCCCGGACGUGCCUGUCGAGCAACCGGAGACACGCCUCAGCCUUAGGCGGCACCCGGGUGCGGGCACGCCGUCGAGCGCCCGGAGCAGCGACUAAUGAGCAAUCCCCUAUCCAUGGAUGGGUGGGGAAUAGGAUGUACACUCAUCUUUCGGUGUACAAUUAGCUUUUUCCAACUUUUAUAUAAAAUAUUCCAAAUUGAUCCCCGUACUUUUAUUUCAAUCACAUAUUGGACUUUUUUACAAAAUAGCCCUCUAAAAUUUUGGUAUUUGCGAAAUAACUCUACCAAAAUUAUAUUUGAAAAAUUAAUCCUCUUUUUUCCAUGUAGGUGCCACGGUUGAAUUUUCUCUUAAAUACGGUGAAUAAUUUACCGUUUUGCGGUGAAUCCUUUACCAUCUUUCACUUAUUUACUGUUUCUUUUUAUAUCACAUAUAUAAUCCUAACAACCACAUAAAUAUUUUAAUAAAUCACAUAUAGUCUUAACAACCUGAAAAUUUUAAUAAUUUAUCAUACAAUCCUAAUAAUCAAAAAAAUCCUAAUAAUCUAUCCAUAUAAUCCUAAUAAUCAAAUAUCACAUAUAAUCUUAACCGCUUGAAAAUCUUAAUAAUCUAUUCAUACAAUCCUUAUAAUAAAAAAAUUCUAAUAACUUAUCCAUACAAUCCUAACAAUCAAAUAAAAAUUCUAAUAAUCUAUAUACGUACAAUUUUAACAACCUCAAACAACCUCACUUGUUUUCUUUUUUCCAUAUAUAAUCCUCGCCGUUAAAAAUUAUGAAGAAGGCGGUAAAUCGUUAACGAUCUUUAUAAAUACAGCAAACGAUUCACUAUCUUUAAAAGACAUCGGAGACUUUUAGUUUGCCGGAUAUAAAUUUGGCAUACUCAUUUUGCAAAUUAUAAAAUUUUAGAGAGUUAUUUUGAAAAAAAAAAAAUCCCCCACAUUUGUCAAUACCAUCUGAACUUACUCAUUGCCAAAUAAACAUUUUGGAGCCUUCGAGUUAACUGAGGCACGCGAAUCAUUUAUUACAUCGUAUCAAAUAGCAAUUUUACGCCGAGAAGCUCAGGUGCUCAGGUAAAAGUAGAGGGUGAUCAAACCGGACAACAGCGACUACCCAGA